Molecule: long non-coding RNA, 2270 nt
Organism: Mesocricetus auratus (golden hamster)
Lineage: Eukaryota; Metazoa; Chordata; Mammalia; Rodentia; Cricetidae
Exons: 7
Source: RefSeq, a predicted model, not a curated record
CUGGCAGCGCCCGCAAGGCCAGGAGGCGGUUGUGGGAUCCCCGGGCACAGUCUGGAGGCUCUUCAAGGCAGGCGCCGCCUUCUCUUGGUUCCCAAAUAGCAAUGGUCCCGGACCCUGCCUCCAGCCCUGCCCCAGCCAAGACUCUCCAGGGCUCUGUCUGUCUUCUCCGGAGUGAGCCAGCCAGACCCGCAACAGCUGCUCAGGCCACGUGAGACCCACAAGGUUUCACAAUAGGGGAUGAGGAUUUCUAUGCAGGAAUUCACAGGAUGCGCGGUUUGUACACGACUCUGGGUUGGGAAUGUAAAACACCCCGGACUGAUAAAUGAUUUUGUGAAUUGAUUUUUCAGACAAGUCAUGGCUUCCCAGACUCUAUCUGACAUCACCCCUACUUAUGUUCUGAAGAAGCUGGAGCUGUGAACGUCACACCCCUGGUCACCAGGGCGCUAGCCUGCAUUUUGCUACCUCUUCAGUACAAGUGGUUUGAUUUUGUGCUUCCCUGGGCAGUUUUCUGUGACUGAGAAUCCCUGACCUAAGAGCAAACAAAACACACCAGCCAACCAGCAGUAUCGUGAAAAACAAUGGUUACAGAGGCAGACACCUGGGUUUUCAAAAGUGGAUUUAAAUUCCGACAGUCUCCAUGUGACCAGCCCUUUAAAAUAUGAAAUGCUCUAAAAUGGAAAGGCAACCAUGUGUUGAAGUCCGAAGAGAAGGCAAAGGAGCUAACUACAGAAGGUUGGUAACACUUCCGAAUGACUGGCAAAGGGACAGCCAUGUGCAGAAUUUGAGUUACCUUGAUGAAACCACAAUGGAGACUAACGUCUGUUGGGGCGAGUAUAAAUGAACCCCUGGAAGAUAUUUGCUCAACAGAGAAAACCUCCAUAAAGGGUGUACUUGUGGAUGCGUAGCUGCAGGGAAAAGACAUUCAGGAGAAGGCAGCAGCUACAGUGCUGUAGUUGAGCAAUAUGAAGGAGAUACUCUGCGAUCGUGGCUAUUGCAUGCCCCGAGAGUCAAGAGGUCAUCAGACGCUCAUCGAAGGUUCCAGCCACCACUCCCUCCCAGCUUCAUGUGCUCCUGCGGGAAGAUACAGAGUUGGCUGGGCUGGUUUACCACAACAGUUUCCAUCCUCUGGGCCUUCGCCUUCAACUCAUCCUCCAACCCACAGUCUUCCCUCCAGGUAGCAACCAGGUGUUGGUCACAGUGUUUGCUCUGUGACAGCUCAUUGAGUCGUGGUCCUAGGAUGUGCAAACCUUCCAGCAGGGUAAUUACACAAAUGCUGAGGAGAAACCCCAGGCAAGCAAGGGAAGAAACAAGUCUAAAAUUGCAUCCCCGGGGAAAACAAAACAGAGUCACAGCUCUUUGGGGACUAAAUGCAGUGUGGCAUGGCACCGCCGUGUGAAGUGCUACGAAGCCCUCUGGCUGUCCCUGCAAAUGAAAUGGAAAUGUGGAUUUCUGGAACAGUGGCUACCCAGUGACCCCGCUGCCCUUUCUAUACCGGCAAGCUAAAAUGCUAACUGUGCCCCCUCCUAAAAACUGCUCAUGAUUCAACUCAAGGGACAGUCCCGUCCGGAAACUGUGGCCCUUCUUCUGCCUAAUUACUUCAGCUUUUAGCUUCCCACACUUGCACAAGGCCCUGAACUCUGUGUCCUCACCCACGUAACCGGGGUCUCUCGCUGUGCUUCUGUGUUCUUAAUGCACCAAGGUCCUCCUUACACUCCUGCCCGGAGGCAGGUGAGUGACCAGCAAGCCAUUAACUGGGGCCCCUUCCCACUCCUUGUGAAAAUGGAGAACUACGCCCUGGGAAGAUUCUGCUAGUUGUUGGGAAUGACUGAUCUUUGUAAAUAAUCUACACCCUUCCCUAAAGAGUUCACACAUUCCCCCCUUCCCCCCGUUUAUUUCUCCCCUCACUGCCCAUGCGUGUUGCUCCACGGUAAUGUGACUGAAGCUUCCAGAAAGGUGUUUAUCGGAAAGAAGUCAUCACAGUCACUGAAACCAGGUCCACGCCUUACCUGUUUGUCUUCUGGAAUGUUCACACAAAUGGGAAUCUGUACUUGGGAGGCCAGCUUGUAGUCACGGUGGAUGAGUCCUUUGUGUGUGACCACAGAGAAGCCAGGACACUCACACCGUGUCAGUGGCCCUACACACCCAUCCCUGCAGUCUGACUGACUGUCUCAGCCAUGAGUCUGCCCUUCCCCACCAUCCGCUCCGCCCUCUUCCCCGCCCUUCUUCUUUGCCCUUCCUGCACCCCUCCCCUUCCUGACCCUCCCCUUCCU